Molecule: ribosomal RNA, 429 nt
Filed under: Acidobacteriota bacterium
Lineage: Bacteria; Pseudomonadati; Acidobacteriota
Description: Acidobacteria bacterium partial 16S ribosomal RNA
Rfam family: Bacterial small subunit ribosomal RNA
Source: RNAcentral
UGGGGAAUUUUGGACAAUGGGGGAAACCCUGAUCCAGCCAUCCCGCGUGUGCGAUGAAGGCCUUCGGGUUGUAAAGCACUUUUGGCAGGAAAGAAACGUCAUGGGUUAAUACCCCGUGAAACUGACGGUACCUGCAGAAUAAGCACCGGCUAACUACGUGCCAGCAGCCGCGGUAAUACGUAGGGUGCAAGCGUUAAUCGGAAUUACUGGGCGUAAAGCGUGCGCAGGCGGUUCGGAAAGAAAGAUGUGAAAUCCCAGAGCUCAACUUUGGAGCGGCAUUUUUAACUACCGGGCUAGAGUGUGUCAGAGGGAGGUGGAAUUCCGCGUGUAGCAGUGAAAUGCGUAGAUAUGCGGAGGAACACCGAUGGCGAAGGCAGCCUCCUGGGAUAACACUGACGAUCAUGCACGAAAGCGUGGGGAGCAAACAGG